This 481-nucleotide ribosomal RNA is filed under the name uncultured bacterium. RNAcentral describes it as "partial 16S ribosomal RNA". It matches the Rfam family "Bacterial small subunit ribosomal RNA", at positions 28 to 507 of the family's 1533-position model. The record is from RNAcentral.
GACGAACGUUGGCGGCGUGCUUAAUACAUGCAAGUCAACUGAAGCAGUGGUAGCAAUAUCGCUGUGGAGGUGGCGCACGGGUGGGUAACACGUAGGUAAUCUGCCUUCAGGUCUGGCAUAACUCCGGGAAACCGGGGCUAAUAGCAGAUGAUGCAGCGGCUCGACAUCGAGACAGUUGUUAAAGCUAUGGCGCCUGAAGAUGAGCCUGCGUCUGAUUAGCUAGUUGGCGGGGUAACGGCCCACCAAGGCAACGAUCAGUAGCUGGUCUGAGAGGAUGAUCAGCCACACUGGAACUGAGACACGGUCCAGACUCCUACGGGAGGCAGCAGUAAGGAAUAUUGCUCAAUGGGAGAAAUCCUGAAGCAGCAACGCCGCGUGAGGGACGAAGGGCUUUGGCUUGUAAACCUCUGUAGUGAGAGAAAAAAAUCCCAAUCUUUGGGACAUGAUGGUAUCUCAAAAGUAAGCCCCGGCUAACUACGUG